RNAcentral lists this ribosomal RNA (418 nucleotides) under uncultured soil bacterium. RNAcentral's name for it is "bacterial SSU rRNA". It matches the Rfam family "Bacterial small subunit ribosomal RNA", at positions 26 to 445 of the family's 1533-position model. The record is from RNAcentral.
AGAUUGAACGCUGGCGGCAGGCCUAACACAUGCAAGUCGAGCGGUAGAGAGGUGCUUGCACCUCUUGAGAGCGGCGGACGGGUGAGUAAUGCCUAGGAAUCUGCCUAGGUGGUGGGGGGAUAACGUUCGGAAACGGACGCUAAUACCGCAUACGUCCUACGGGGAGGAAAGCGGGGGACCUUCGGGCCUCGCGCCAUUAGAUGAGCCUAGGUCGGAUUAGCUAGUUGGUGAGGUAAUGGCUCACCAAGGCGACGAUCCGUAACUGGUCUGAGAGGAUGAUCAGUCACACUGGAACUGAGACACGGUCCAGACUCCGUACGGGAGCAGCGAGUGGGGAAUAGUUGGACAAGUGGGCGAAAGCCUGACUCCAGCCAUGCGCGUGUGUGAAGAGUCUUGGAUUGAAAGCUAACGUUUAAGU